UACAGAGGGGGCGAGCGUUAUUCGGAAUUAUUGGGCGUAAAGGGCGCGUAGGCGGCUUGACAAGUCCAAGGUGAAAUCCCUCGGCUCAACCGAGGAACUGCCUUGGAAACUGUCUGGCUCGAGGCCGGGAGAGGGUAGUGGAAUUCCCAGUGUAGCGGUGAAAUGCGUAGAUAUUGGGAGGAACACCGGUGGCGAAGGCGGCUACCUGGACCGGAUCUGACGCUGAUGCGCGAAAGCGUGGGGAGCAAACAGG
This 253-nucleotide ribosomal RNA is filed under the name uncultured bacterium. RNAcentral describes it as "partial 16S ribosomal RNA". It matches the Rfam family "Bacterial small subunit ribosomal RNA", at positions 524 to 776 of the family's 1533-position model. The record is from RNAcentral.